GCCAGAAUGGUAUAGUGGUUUGAGCGUUGGGCUAUUACGUUAGAUUAUUACUUUGGAGGCCAGAGUUCGAAUCCCAGCUUGGCCA
This is a non-coding RNA of Phrynosoma platyrhinos (Desert horned lizard), 85 nucleotides long. Lineage: Eukaryota; Metazoa; Chordata; Lepidosauria; Squamata; Phrynosomatidae. The record is from the annotation of a GenBank genome assembly.